This 507-nucleotide ribosomal RNA is filed under the name uncultured bacterium. RNAcentral describes it as "bacterial SSU rRNA". It matches the Rfam family "Bacterial small subunit ribosomal RNA", at positions 9 to 512 of the family's 1533-position model. The record is from RNAcentral.
GAGUUUGAUCAUGGCUCAGAUUGAACGCUGGCGGCAGGCCUAACACAUGCAAGUCGGGCGGUAGAGAGAAGCUUGCUUCUCUUGAGAGCGGCGGACGGGUGAGUAAUGCCUAGGAAUCUGCCUGGUAGUGGGGGAUAACGCUCGGAAACGGACGCUAAUACCGCAUACGUCCUACGGGAGAAAGCAGGGGACCUUCGGGCCUUGCGCUAUCAGAUGAGCCUAGGUCGGAUUAGCUAGUUGGUGAGGUAAUGGCUCACCAAGGCGACGAUCCGUAACUGGUCUGAGAGGAUGAUCAGUCACACUGGAACUGAGACACGGUCCAGACUCCUACGGGAGGCAGCAGUGGGGAAUAUUGGACAAUGGGCGAAAGCCUGAUCCAGCCAUGCCGCGUGUGUGAAGAAGGUCUUCGGAUUGUAAAGCACUUUAAGUUGGGAGAAGGGCAGUAAAUUAAUACUUUGCUGUUUUGACGUUACUGACAGAAUAAGCACCGGCUAACUCUGUGCCAGC